This 795-nucleotide ribosomal RNA is filed under the name uncultured Flavobacterium sp. RNAcentral's name for it is "bacterial SSU rRNA". It matches the Rfam family "Bacterial small subunit ribosomal RNA", at positions 347 to 1152 of the family's 1533-position model. The record is from RNAcentral. Lineage: Bacteria; Pseudomonadati; Bacteroidota; Flavobacteriia; Flavobacteriales; Flavobacteriaceae.
GGCAGCAGUGAGGAAUAUUGGUCAAUGGGCGCAAGCCUGAACCAGCCAUGCCGCGUGCAGGAUGACGGUCCUAUGGAUUGUAAACUGCUUUUAUACGGGAAGAAACACUCCUACGUGUAGGAACUUGACGGUACCGUAAGAAUAAGGAUCGGCUAACUCCGUGCCAGCAGCCGCGGUAAUACGGAGGAUCCAAGCGUUAUCCGGAAUCAUUGGGUUUAAAGGGUCCGUAGGCGGUUUAAUAAGUCAGUGGUGAAAGCCCAUCGCUUAACGAUGGAACGGCCAUUGAUACUGUUAGACUUGAAUUAGUGGGAAGUAACUAGAAUAUGUAGUGUAGCGGUGAAAUGCUUAGAUAUUACAUGGAAUACCAAUUGCGAAGGCAGGUUACUAUCACUAUAUUGACGCUGAUGGACGAAAGCGUGGGGAGCGAACAGGAUUAGAUACCCUGGUAGUCCACGCCGUAAACGAUGGAUACUAGCUGUUCGGUGCAAACUGAGUGGCUAAGCGAAAGUGAUAAGUAUCCCACCUGGGGAGUACGUUCGCAAGAAUGAAACUCAAAGGAAUUGACGGGGGCCCGCACAAGCGGAGGAGCAUGUGGUUUAAUUCGAUGAUACGCAGGAACCUUACCAGGGCUUAAAUGGGAGACGACAGAUCUGGAAACAGGUUUUUCUUCGGACGUCUUUCAAGGUGCUGCAUGGUUGUCGUCAGCUCGUGCCGUGAGGUGUCAGGUUAAGUCCUAUAACGAGCGCAACCCUAUUGUUAGUGCCAGCGGGUCAUGCGGGAACUCUACAAGACUGC